CUACGGGAGGCAGCAGUGGGGAAUCUUGGACAAUGGGCGCAAGCCUGAUCCAGCCAUGCCGCGUGAGUGAAGAAGGCCUUAGGGUUGUAAAGCUCUUUUGGCAGGGACGAUAAUGACGGUACCUGCAGAAAAAGCCCCGGCUAACUUCGUGCCAGCAGCCGCGGUAAUACGAAGGGGGCUAGCGUUGCUCGGAAUUACUGGGCGUAAAGCGCACGUAGGCGGACUCUUAAGUCGGUGGUGAAAUCCUGGAGCUCAACUCCAGAACUGCCUUCGAUACUGGGAGUCUUGAGUUCGGGAGAGGUGAGUGGAACUGCGAGUGUAGAGGUGAAAUUCGUAGAUAUUCGCAAGAACACCAGUGGCGAAGGCGGCCAACUGGCUCGAUACUGACGCUGAGGUGCGAAAGCGUGGGGAGCAAACAGGAUUAGAUACCCCAGUAGUCC
RNAcentral lists this ribosomal RNA (440 nucleotides) under uncultured bacterium. Its description in RNAcentral is "bacterial SSU rRNA". It matches the Rfam family "Bacterial small subunit ribosomal RNA", at positions 339 to 796 of the family's 1533-position model. The record is from RNAcentral.